RNAcentral lists this ribosomal RNA (253 nucleotides) under uncultured bacterium. RNAcentral's name for it is "partial 16S ribosomal RNA". It matches the Rfam family "Bacterial small subunit ribosomal RNA", at positions 524 to 776 of the family's 1533-position model. The record is from RNAcentral.
UACGUAGGGUGCGAGCGUUGUCCGGAAUUAUUGGGCGUAAAGAGCUCGUAGGCGGUCUGUCGCGUCGGAUGUGAAACCCCGGGGCUUAACCCUGGGCCUGCAUUCGAUACGGGCAGACUAGAGUUCGGUAGGGGAGACUGGAAUUCCUGGUGUAGCGGUGAAAUGCGCAGAUAUCAGGAGGAACACCGGUGGCGAAGGCGGGUCUCUGGGCCGAUACUGACGCUGAGGAGCGAAAGCGUGGGGAGCAAACAGG